This 211-nucleotide ribosomal RNA is filed under the name uncultured bacterium. RNAcentral's name for it is "partial 16S ribosomal RNA". It matches the Rfam family "Bacterial small subunit ribosomal RNA", at positions 568 to 774 of the family's 1533-position model. The record is from RNAcentral.
CACGCAGGCGGCUAGGCAAGUCUGACGUGAAAGCUCCCGGCUAAACUAGGGAGGAGGUCGUUGGAAACUAGCUUGGCUUGAGGUAAUGAGAGGGGUGGCGGAAUUCCCGGUGUAGUGGUGGAAUGCGUAGAUAUCGGGAGGAACACCAGUGGCGAAAGCGGCACCCUAGCAUUGACCUGACGCUCAUGUGCGAAAGCGUGGGGAGCGAACG